Molecule: long non-coding RNA, 340 nt
Organism: Rhagoletis pomonella (apple maggot)
Lineage: Eukaryota; Metazoa; Arthropoda; Insecta; Diptera; Tephritidae
Exons: 3
Source: RefSeq, a predicted model, not a curated record
GUGUUAAUAAUUCAAUUGUCAACCUUUAAUAGUCCGGCAACUCCCGGACAACUUGGAAAAUAGAACGGGCAGAAAAUUGCAUUGGUGGUUUUUGGGCAGAGAAAUUUAUAUUUAUAAUAAAUGGAAAUACGUGCGAAAGUUAUGACGAAUACGAUUUUGUGUGCCAAAUUGUAAUCGUUAUAGCAUUUUGAAGUAUCCACCAACUGCGCUGCAAGUUGCAAUGGGCAAAGAUCAAGAUCUGCUGGAAGCAGCACGCAUUGGUAAUAUUGCUGUAGUCGGCAAAAUUCUUGAGCAGAUUACAAAACGCAGCAGUGGGCCUUUCUCAAGCUUUCGUCGCAGU